This 758-nucleotide long non-coding RNA is filed under the name Vigna radiata. Its description in RNAcentral is "long non-coding RNA (VRAD_LNC016057)". Lineage: Eukaryota; Viridiplantae; Streptophyta; Magnoliopsida; Fabales; Fabaceae. The record is from RNAcentral.
UCUUGAAUUGUGAUUGUUUGUGGACUCUGACUGGGUUAAUGUGAAUUCUAUUUUUGCACUUGCAAUUGGGUAUACGCUUAGUUGCCCAGUUGGUGUUAUAUCUUCGGUUAGUUGAUGUAACUGAAUGGUGUAAUUUAGAUUUGAUAUUAACACUGCGUUCGCUUAGUUCGCUUUUAUGAAAACAGGGUUAUUCUUUGCUUAGUUGGUUAACUUUGUUGGAUUAAAGGUUUGAGUCACAACUUUAUGUUUUGAUCUGUGAUUGGAAACAUUGUAAUUAAGUUAAUGACAAACCGUUUUUAUUCUGUAUGUGAUUUUGUUUUGCAAUUCUAUUUUUACAUUUUUGUUUGCAUCCGUCCUUUGAUUUAAUUCGUCCGCAUUCAAAAACUUUUCACAACCCCCCCCCCCCCAAACUUCGUGUUUGACCGAAGACUUGAACCAUAGUUUGGUGCUUGAGAGACGACCUAGGUGUCACUACCUAGCUAUACUGCAUUUCUAAUAUGCAAUCAAAUUUGUAUGGGCCGUGACACCCAUCAGAUUUUGGCGCCGUUGCCGGGGACCAACGGUUCGGUUUUAGGUCUUUUGUUGUGUUAGUGUGUGUUGUGUUUUGUCUUGUGUUGUGAGUGUGAUGUUCUGUUUUGUGUGUUCGUCAUUGUGUGUUGCAUUUAGGUAGCUUUAGUUGCAUAUUUUCAUUGCAUUCUUCUUUUUCCCCCCUUUACAUGUCUACCUAUUUUGGUUCUGUGAGUAAUGCUUAUUUUGCA